GCUCCUUGCUUAGGUGCAUGUCCUAAUAUGGGAAUAGUACAGAGAAUAUUAGCACAGCCCCUGUGCAAGGAAGACAUGUGGAUUUGUCAAAAUUUUAUGAACUAAUU
Non-coding RNA from Otolemur garnettii (small-eared galago), 107 nucleotides. NCBI's taxonomy places the organism in Eukaryota, Metazoa, Chordata, Mammalia, Primates, Galagidae. The record is from Rfam.